AGUGAACGCUGGCGGUAGGCCUAACACAUGCAAGUCGAACGGCAGCACAGUAAGAGUUUGCUCUUACGGGUGGCGAGUGGCGGACGGGUGAGGAAUACAUCGGAAUCUACUUUUUCGUGGGGGAUAACGUAGGGAAACUUACGCUAAUACCGCAUACGACCUACGGGUGAAAGCAGGGGAUCUUCGGACCUUUCGCGAUUGAAUGAGCCGAUGUCGGAUUAGCUAGUUGGCGGGGUAAAGGCCCACCAAGGCGACGAUGCGUAGCUGGUCUGAGAGGAUGAUCGGCCACACUGGAACUGAGACACGGUCCAGACUCCUACGGGAGGCAGCAGUGGGGAAUAUUGGACAAUGGGCGCAAGCCUGAUCCAGCCAUACCGCGUGAGUGAAGAAGGCCUUCGGGUUGUAAAGCCCUUUUGUUGGGAAAGAAAAGCAGCAGGUUAAUACCCCGCUGUUCUGACGGUACCCAAAGAAUAAGCACCGGCUAACUUCGUG
Molecule: ribosomal RNA, 492 nt
Filed under: uncultured bacterium
Lineage: Bacteria
Description: partial 16S ribosomal RNA
Rfam family: Bacterial small subunit ribosomal RNA
Source: RNAcentral